UAAGCCUUAGUGUACGGUGCACUAGGAGUUUUGAUCUCCUCAGCGAAAGUUCGACUCUUUUACGCUUAA
This 69-nucleotide transfer RNA is filed under the name Euthalenessa festiva. RNAcentral describes it as "tRNA-Gln". The record is from RNAcentral. Lineage: Eukaryota; Metazoa; Annelida; Polychaeta; Phyllodocida; Sigalionidae.